GGUAAACGCGAUGGAGGACCACCAUGGGAUUUACGCAAUCGCUCAACGCCCUUGUGAUCUGUGCAGCGUUCAUUUUUGUUGGUGCAAUGCUCUUUAUCUGACCUCGACGAGCAUUGAAUAACAGUCAAAAGUUUGAAGACGGGAGCGCACAGGCGUUCCCGUUUU
The sequence is a small RNA, 165 nucleotides long. It matches the Rfam family "Rhizobiales sRNA Atu_C9". The record is from Rfam.